CUCCAGGUCGCUGGCCACGAUGGAGUAGGACACGCGGCCGUUGGGCCCUAGGUCGGGGUCGGAGGCGCUGACUUGGGCGAUGGAGGCUCCUGGAGGGUUAUUCUCAGCCACGUGGACCACAUAGGAGGCCUGGUGGAAAAUCGAAUCCUGGUCCUGUGUUUUGAAGAGAACAACAACCAUUCCUGGAUGGGAAUCCUCCAAAAUUUGAUCAGAGAGAGAAGUAAUGAUUAUUUCAGGGAUGUUGUCGUUUUCAUCUAGAACUUCUAUGAUUACUUUGCACUGGGUAGAGAGGGAUCCUCGGUCCUUCGCUUCUACAUCCAUGGUAUAUCUUUCUACUUCUUCGAAAUCCAAGGGUUGCUGAGUUAUAAUGUUUCCUGUGGCAGAAUCCAGAGAGAACACAUGCUGGGCUUUAUUAGCCAUACCAAGGAAUGAGUAGGUGAUCUCCGCGUUGAAGCCUUCGUCUUGGUCAGUGGCACUCACCUGCACCACUGAGGUGCCUGGGGGUACACCUUCAGGAAGACUGACCCUAUACAUAUCUUGGCUGAACACUGGGGGGUUAUCAUUGGCAUCCACCACCAGGAUUCGGAUCUGAGCUGUGCUGCUUCGUGGUGGAUUUCCAUUGUCAAAUGCUGUCAGCACCAGAUGAUGAGAGCUUUGUGUUUCCCGGUCCAGGGUCUUCUUCAGUACUAAUUCUGGAUAUUUGCCACCAUCGGGAUUGUCUUUCACCACCAAGGAGAAGUACUCAUUAGGGCUUAGCUGGUAUUUGCUCAGUGAAUUCGUACUAAUAUCAGGAUCUUUUGCAGACUCAAGAAUUGUUCCCAUCCCUGGAGUGACAGAUUCACUGAUUUCUAAGUUUAUUUCAUCUUUAUGGAACUGAGGGGCAUGGUCAUUAAUAUCCUCAACAACCACAAUGAUAUGAAAGAUAUUUAAAGGAUUUUCCACCACGGCUUCCAACUGCAACUCACAUCUUCUUCUCUCUUUGCAUAUCUGCUCCCGGUCUAUUCGGUCCUUCACUAGUAAGUCCCCGCUCUCUGCGUCUACGUUGAAAAGCAGCUUCUCCGUGCUGACUCGCAGCUUCCUAGCUGACACGUCCAGGACACUGAGCCCGAGAUCCUUGGCGAGGUUCCCCACCACCGAGCCCUUGGCCAGUUCCUCGGGAAUCGAGUAGCGGAUCGGCUCGCAGAGCGCGGGGUAGAACAAAGGUAGCAGGAAGGGAAACAGUACCUGCCGCCUGCCGGCCGGGCGCCUCUGAACGCAGCUCCCUCCCAUUGCGCGCUCUAGUUCUCGCUGGGUCCCAGUCUUUCUAGCUAGAAAAAGUGCCCGCUAUCACACUGGUAGCAUUAGGCCCAGAACAUACAGAGCCUCCAGUCUUGGGGCUGGGAAUCUGUGUGUGCUGGGGAGAGUCUGCGCGGCCAGAAGCCCCUGCGUGUAUGGGGUUCCUUCACUCUGUGUUGUUGACUGCGCAGGAACACCCAGGCUAGAGGCUGAAGAAUCCCGGGCGACAGCACUUGCCCUGUACUGGCCGACAGCGGCGCCCAGAGGCUUUGUGUGGAACCGCAAUCUAGUUUUUCUCUUUCAGGAAAUCUUGUUAAAAUGUAAGAUGAUAACAGCUAAUAUCCUAAAUCUUAUUUCUCAAUGUUUUCAUUCUCAUCAUGAAACGUGUUUCAUAUGGUAAAAAUUAUAAUAUGUUGUAUAUGUUAAAAAUUUACAUAGACUUUGAAUAAGUAAAGUACCUCUUUCAAAAUUCAAAAAAGCACAAAAGAAUAUAGAGUGUAAAGUAGCUCUUCCAUCCCAUGGCCCAUUGCUAUUCAGUUCUUGCAUCCAGAGGUAAUCACUGUUGUUCCUUUUAAAAGUAAUUAUCCACAAAGGUAAGUACUGAAAAUAAGCAAAAAUCUUUUUGUCUUCAAUCAUAGCUUACAUUUAGCUAGAAAGCAUUAGUCCAUCUCCCAUAUUUAGAAAUUAGAAGGCUGUCAUUCCCAUAGUCAUUACAUUCAUCUAGGGUGUUCUGUGCUGUUUUCAAAUAUAAUAAUUAACAUGAUUUGGUUACAAUAAUUACCACGCUGAAAGAGUAGUUUUUUAAAAACCCUGUAUUUUUCAGAACAGAAUUAUUUAGAUAUAGAUGCGUAAUAAUUUUGACUCCCAAAGAUAGAUUUAAAAUGACUUUCAAUGAUUUAAGUUAAUAACUAUGACCCUAAAGGAUGUGCUCUCUUUCCAUAGACCCAUUGUUGAACAAAUGUUGGAUGACAAUGAGAAAAAUCAUAGUCUCAUAAAUAUUUUGAGACACAUUAGGAUAUUCUUGGACUGUAUGCUACCAUAUUGGUUUGGAAGAAUACUAGUAAUAAGUUAAAAGUAAGAUAUCAAACCAAAUACAUCGCCAGCUUCACUAAAGUAAAUGGCCACAUCAGUAACUCUACUUACUGAUUGUUUAGAAUACUUCUGUGUACUUCUCUGCUUAUAUUCAGAUCUCCCACAGAAAUGACAUUUCUUUCUUGACCUAGUUUAUUUUGAUUCUUAACAUCAGAAUUUUCAUAAAUCCAGGUGGAUCUUCUUUCUUCUAUGUUACAAAGCCACUGAAAUACCCUUGGAACUCAUCUUUUGCUUCUGUUCUUAGGCACAUGUACAAAUGUUUUUUCUUAUUUGGAGAAUUUAACAAAAAAUGCUGGCAGCAUAACCCAAAAUUUGCUUACUUUAACCUUCUAUACGUUCUUUAGCAUCCCUAGUGAGCAAGGAAAGUCAAAUUAAAAUGCUGUCUUCCACAUAACAGUAUGAAAUUAGAAUCACAAGCAAAAAGGAUGCUACACUGUUACAGGGUGCCUAGGUAGCUCAGUCCGUUAAGCAUCUGACUUUUGAUUUUGGCUCAGAUCAUGAUCUUUCAGUUCGUGGGCCUGAGCCCCAUGUGUUCUGUGUUGGGCUCUGCACUGACAGCAUGGAGCCUGCUUGGGAUUCUCUCUCCCUCUCUCUCUGCCCCUCCAAUGCAUGCGCUUUCUCUCAAAAUAAAUAAACUUUAAAAAAAGGAUGCUAAUGUAUUGUUACCAAUUAUGAUUACACUUGGAAAAUUUUAAGCACACAUUGUUAACAAUUGUUAGUAGAAUAUUAAUGAAAAACUUAAAUCCUUCUAGGAAGUAUAUUCAACUGUAAUUGUCACCGCAAGGUAUAUUUUGAAAAAUAAAACCACAAAGGUGUAUUGCUUUUCUCGUUGGGGAAAACAACACUGAGGAACCUGUUCACUGUUUCCAGUGAAGUUAAUGGAUUUGUCUCUGAUAUUCACCUAUUUUACCAGACCUGCCUUCAAAACAAGAACUAAGGUUGCCUAAGAGGCUAAGAUUUUAGCAUGUGGCCAAGAGAAGUGUACAUAAAUUGACAGACACUUAUGGAGGUACUCUCAGGAACUGUCAGUACUGUACUCAACAAAACUAUAAAGUAGAAUGCUCUGCAAAAUCGUAACAGCCUUGUGACCAUAGGCCUUCAUUGGAAUUACGUGAAUAUUUACCAGAAAAUAAAAACAUAUCAGUCUUAAUAACCAUCAAAUUCUACUCUUCAAUGUUUUAGCAAGAAACAAAUAUCACUGAAAUGGAGGGAACAGUGAAAAAAAUAAAGACCAAAAUUUUCUAUCAUGCCAAACCUAAAAGUAAAACCAAUUAUAAUUCUUAAAAGAAAAAGAGUAAAACCAGAACUCACUGGAACCAAAGGGUUAUCUUCUACAGGUAACUUCAAAUCAUCUAACAAAGACAAAGGAUCCUUUUUCUCAAAGCUCUCGUGGCUAAUGAGCAUGUCGGCAUAGUUGGGCUCGGGGAAGAUCGCGUGACUCUUCCGUGAGUCUGCUGUGAGGGAGACCUCAUGGGAAUACGUCUGCAGGAAAGCCCGCACCCCUUCCACACCCACAAAGGGGGAGGUGGGCACACCCACUAGCCCGCCUCCUGAAGCUUGGAGCUGGUGCGACGUGUGCCAGCGCCUCAACCUGAGAGCCAGUAGCACGAUGACAAAAGCGAGGAAGAUGCAGGAAACUAUGGCUACCGCCACGACCAGAUAUAGCGUUAGACCUGAAGCUUCGGAGUCACGUGGAACUUCCAGACUGCCCAGGUCAGCCAGGACAUCUGGGAUGCUGUCAGCAAUGGCCACAGUGAGUGUGACGGUGGCUGAGAGAGGGGGCUGGCCAUGGUCCUGCACCGCCACGACCAGGCUCUGCUUGAGCGCAUCUCUGUCCAGCAGGGCCCGUGCUGUGCGCACCUCGCCUGUGUGCAGCCCCACUGCGAAGAGCCCUGGUUCGCUGGCCUUGAGCAGGCGGUAGGACAGUCGGGCAUUCUGACCUGAGUCUUUGUCCACUGCCACCACCUUAGUGACCAAAUAGCCGGACUCUGAAGAACGGGGUGCCAGCUCCAUUCCAGUGGAAGUGUCAGUGGGUAGGGUGGGGUACAGGAUCUCUGGUGCAUUGUCAUUCUGGUCCAGCACAAAUAUGCUCACAGAAACAUUGCUGCUGAGAGGUGGGUCCCCACUGUCAGUGGCAAUCACCUGAAUCUGUAGAUCAUGAAAUUGCUCAUAGUCGAAAGUUCGCAACGCAUACAGGACUCCUGUGUCAGAGUUUAUGGAGACGUAGGAGGAUAGAGGUGCUUCCUGGAAAGUGUCUUCAGCUAGGGAGUAAAUAACCUGAGCAUUCUCUUUGCUGUCUGGGUCUAGUGCAGUCACAGACAAGAUGGAGGCACCUCUGGGGUUGUUCUCUGGGAUAUAGGUGAAGUAGGAGAUGUGGGAAAAAGUGGGUGGGUUGUCAUUAAUAUCUGCCACUUGCACAGUGAAGUGAGUUUCUGUUAAUAGGGGUGGAUUUCCUCCAUCUGUGGCUGUCACUGUGAUAUUGUAAGAGGAUACCUGUUCCCUGUCAAGGGUUCUGUGUGUCACCAGUCUAUAAUAACCGUCAAUGGAUUUCUCUAACUUAAAUGGUAGAUUGCCUGAUAUGGAACAGGUGACCUGUCCAUUCUGUCCAGAGUCUGGAUCAUGCACAUUUAAAAGGGCUAUGAUAGUUCCCGGAGGUGAGUCUUCCAUCAGGGGACUAAACAGAGAUGUGAUGGUCACCUCUGGAUUGUUGUCAUUUACAUCUUCUACUGUAAUCAAUACUUUUGCCAUUGCAAGAUAUGCUCCUCCAUCUUCUGCUUGUAUUUCUAAUUCAUAGAAAUCUGUUUCUUCGUAGUCUAGAUUUUCUGAUAAUUUUAUUUCCCCAGUAUUUUUGUUUAGUUGGAAUUUCAACAAUUUGUCAGGAACAAAUUUUCGGAAUGAAUAUGUGACUUCUCCAUUGGCUCCUUCAUCCCUGUCUGUGGCAGUGACUGUAAGCAGCUGUGUGCCCACAGGCAAGUUCUCCAGAACACUCACUCGGUAUUCUGGCAAGGUAAAGACCGGUGCAUUGUCAUUUGUAUCAAAGACGAUCACACUGAUGAGAACUGUACCAGAUAGGAGAGGGUCACCCCCAUCGGAGGCAGUGAGGACCAGGUGGUGUAGUGCCUCUUCCUCACGAUCCAGGGCGUGCUUCAGUACCAGCUCCGGGUAUUUGACACCACUGGCAUGACUCUGAACUGCUAAUGAGAAGUACUUAUUGGAGCUGAGCUGGUAGCUCUGGAGGGAGUUCACACCCACGUCUGGAUCAACAGCUUCCAGGAGAGGAAAACGCAUUCCUGGAGCGACAUUUUCAUUAAUUUUUACCUCUACAUUUUCUGCUUGGAAUUUUGGGGCAUUAUCGUUGACAUCAGUUAUUUCUAUUUCUAUCCCAAAAAGUUCCACCCUAUCUUCCACAAGAAUGUUAAAAUUCACCAGACACCGUGCACUCUGACCACAGAGCUCCUCCCGGUCUAUCCUGCCUGCGGUGACCAAACUGCCACUUCUCGGGUUCAGAGCGAAAAGCUGCGUCCUACCUCUGGAGACGAUGCGGACUCCAGGCUCAGCCAGCUCCCAGGGCUCCAGCCCCAGGUCCUUGGAGAUGUUGCCGACGAAAGAGCCUUUCUCUAACUCCUCAGGAACGGAGUAGCGGAUCUGCCGGGCUUCAGCCUCCCAUGACAAACCGAGGAAAAGACAGAACAAAACCAGCGCUUUGCGGUUGGAGUGGUUCCUUUUAGCAGCCAUUGUUGUCUAGUCAAGGAAUUCUCGCCAAGUAAUCACUGGGCACGUUGUGCGUUUUAACGAUUCCUUUUUCUUUGUCUGGCUGCUGGGAGCCUCUGUAGCCUACGCACCUCAAAUUCUGGAGUGAGUUUCACUGCAACCCUGGAGCCGGUUUGUAGGAACUGAGGAGCUUUGCGUAGUCGGAGCCCUGAGAAUCCGGAUUGAGCGCUGGCUGCGUUUCUCUGGGAGAACAGCGGCGCUCAGAGUCCUGAGAAGUUACUGCACCCACUAUGUGUGCAAUGGAAAACACGGUACUCUUUGUUGGAUCUUUCAUUUUACUUUACAAUACUUCUUUGGCUUCUCAACUGAUAUCCCUUAAGUCAACUACUACUUGUAGAUUGCUUAUUGGGUAGGAUAAAUGGAAAGUACUAUAAAAUAUCAAAUGAAAAUAACUGGUCAAAUAUACAUAUUUGUAACACUUUCUGAGUAGAAACAUACUCAUUUCUAGCUAUAUUCACUUAUAAUUUUUAUUUUAGCUUUAACUAAUUGGCCAAUUAAUUAAAUUUGUUGAUGAUUAAUAUUGUGUACAAAUUUUUCAAAAUAUUCUUUUCUAAAAUAGUUUUAUUGAGCCUCCAUGAACUGUUUUGAAAACAAUGUUUUUUUUAUUGUAGGCAUAUAUAAUUAGAAGUUAAUUUGACCUAUUUAAAUUAAUGAAGUAACCGCAAACUAAAAGGAGUAUAACAUGUCUGUGUGGUAAUGGGAAGAAAAAUAUAAGAAUUUCAAGCUACAAUUUUUAAAAACAAAAUAAUGAUGUAGGGUUUUUUUUUUUUUAAGUAAGUAUUUACUCAAAUGAUCUGUUUUCAUCAGAGCACUGAUGCCCAUACAAACAAUCUCUUCUGGCACUUUGUAUGGAAGCCCAAAGUGAAGUGGUUCAGACAUCUUCAAUUCUACCUGCCCAUCAACCCAGCAGAAGUUCUCUCCCCAAAGGUGAGGAGUUUAGAGGUUCACAUCUUUUAUACAGAGAACAGGUUGUUCAGGACUAUUUAUGUCACUAUGCCUCCAAAGUGUGGAACUUUUCAAAGAUUUUAUAUUUUGUCUUCAAAGACUUUAUAUCAGACAAUUAGGGACAGAGACUGAGUGCAAAGGCAGUGACAGUUCAUUUGCUUUCUUGGAAAUUCAUUCUUUUUCAAUGUAGAGGAAAAAAGAUUAGGAAAGAGUACAAUUUGAGCUCCAAGAUAAAUAAACAUAAGAAGAAAGCCAGAAGAACCAAAUGCUGAAGAGAAAAAAUCCUCUAGGGUAGUUAUUAUUAAGUUCUGGGGAGCAUAGAAACCUUGGCAAUGGAAAACAAGUUUGACUCAUCUCCCAAGGAAAAUACGUAUUUCUAUAACUUUGCAUAGAAUUUCAGAAACCUUUCGAUUUGUUCACCAUCUCCCCUCAAAUGCUUAGUUAUUUUAAUUACUGGAAUAAAUGAAGAUACCUAAAUAUAGCCAGGAUAUUAUUUACAAUAAAUGUUUCUUUGAAACAAGCACCUGCUUGAAUAUUUAAUGAGUGGCUUAACAUUAUUAUACUCAAAAUAUAUAAGUAGAAUAUGGAAAAUUCAUCUUAAAUAUUAACAAACUUGAGUAAUUACUUAUUAAUUUAUUCAGUAAGAAGCCACCGCCUGUUUUGCUAACCUGAGCUUGACUAGAUAUCGCCAAUUUAGUGACAUUAUUGCUGAAUUAUAGAGCACUUACAAACCAAGUAACUCUUGAAAAAUAUAAUCUGCAAAAAGUAAAUACUGAGACAAGGUGAUUAGUUAUGGAUUUUCCAAAUAUGACUCAUAUUAAAAAAUACAAUAGUAUGCCUCAAAUAAGAGAAAACAAUAGAAUGUUUCAGAAGACACAAAAAUGUAACUCACCGGUGUGAGCAUCUCAGGAUGUGCAGUCAAAUCAUGCCCACCCUGAAGUGGAAUUAAGGCCCCAGACGAAUCACCGCAAACUAUGUCUUGAGUGGAAUGCAAGAGCUCAUUACAUUUUAGGAAGUUAAACUCUGCCUUUCCGGUUUGGGCAACGCACAAAUUGUAGGAAUAAGGCAAAGUCCCCUCACUGUAGUUAGGAGGAACCACAGGUCCAGACUUGACACAAAGACCAGGCUGAAAGCAGCCCCAGGCAGCGGGGCUGGGGGAGCGGCGCAGGCGCAGGGCCACCGCCAGAAUCACCGCAAGGAGGAAGAGCACCGAGAUCAAGGCCAAAGCCACCACCAGGUAAAACUGCAGCUCGGCCUGGGGGUCAGAGGGCUCCGGACGGUCGCUGACAUCCGGCAGUACUUCUUGGAGGCUGUCGGCGAAAACCAGGUGCAGCGUGGCGGUGGCAGAGAGGGGCGGCUGCCCCCCGUCCCGCACGGCGACCAGCAGGCGCUGGCGGGCCGCGUCCCUGUCGCCCAAAGCACGCGCAGUGCGCACCUCGCCCGUGCGCAGCCCCAGGCUGAAGAGUCCGGGCUCGCUGGCCUGCAGCACGUGGUACGACAGCCACGCAUUGUGUCCCGAGUCGGCGUCCACCGCCACCACCUUGGUGACCAGGUAGCCGGGCUGCGCGGCGCGCGGCACCGUGUCGAAGAGCGCCGAACCGUCGGGCCCCAGCGCCGGGUACAGCACCCUAGGCGCGUUGUCGUUGAGGUCGCCCACCAACACGCGCAGGCUCACGUUGGCGCUGAGCGCGGGCGAGCCCUGGUCGCGGGCCUGCACCGUCAGCUCGAAGGCGCGCAGCUGCUCGUGGUCGAAGGCGCGCUGCGCGAACACCACGCCGCUCUGCGCGCUCACGGACACGUAGGACGCCAGCGCCCGCGGCUCCAGGUCGCUGGCCACGAUGGAGUAGGACACGCGGCCGUUGGGCCCUAGGUCGGGGUCGGAAGCGCUGACUUGGGCGAUGGAGGCUCCUGGAGGGUUAUUCUCAGCCACGUGGACCACAUAGGAGGCCUGGUGGAAAAUCGGUGUGUUGUCAUUGACAUCGGUGAUGUGCAAGGUGAUGGUAGUGCUGGAGGAGAGGGGCGGAAUGCCCCUGUCAGUGGCUGUGAUAGUGACGUUGUAUUCUGGAGUCUGCUCUCGGUCUAGCGGUCCAUCUGUCACCAGCUUGUAAUAAUUAUUAGAAGAGGAGUAAAUCUUGAAAGGAAUAUCCUUUUCUAUGUUACAUGUGACUUCUCCAUUUCCCCCGAAAUCCUUGUCCCGUGUUUUGAAGAGAACAACCACCAUUCCUGGAAGAGAAUCCUCCAAAAUUUCAUCAGAGAGAGAGGUGAUGAUUAUUUCUGGCCUGUUGUCGUUUUCAUCUAGGAUUUCAAUGAUUACUUUACAUUGAGUAGAGAGUCCACCUCCAUCCCUUGCUUCCACUUCCAUGGUAUAUCUUUCUACAUCCUCAAAAUCCAAUGACUGGUUAUUCUUAAUCAUACCUGUUUUCUCAUUCAGCAAGAACAUGUAUCUUGUACUCUGAGCAGUGCUCCUGAAGUAGUAGUUCACUUCUGCAUUGACCCCCUCAUCCUUGUCAGUGGCUGUCACCUGCAACACGGAGGAUCCAGGGGGCAGAUUUUCACUAACACUGAUUCUGUAUUCAUCUUUGCUGAACACCGGAAAGUUAUCAUUAGCAUCCCUGACAGAGAUUUCUAUUCGAGUGGUGGCACUUCUUGGUGGGUUCCCCCCAUCCAAGGCAGUCAAUAUCAAGUGAUGAGAAUGCUGCUCUUCCCUGUCUAGGAGUUUUUCCAAAGUUAACUCUGGAUAUUUACCACCAUCGGAAUUAACUCUAACCAUUAAUGAGAAAUAAGGGUUAGGAUUUAUCUGAUAAUCUUUGACUGAGUUCAUGUUUAUAUCGGGGUCAGUGGCAGGGUCAAGGGAUAUUCGUGCACCUUCUGAUACAGAUUCAAAAAUUUCUAAAAGUAUUUCCUUUUUAUCGAAUUGAGGGGCAUGGUCAUUAAUAUCCUCAACAACCACAAUGAUAUGAAAGAUAUUUAAAGGAUUUUCCACCACGGCUUCCAACUGCAACUCACAUCUUCUUCUCUCUUUGCAUAUCUGCUCCCGGUCUAUUCGGUCCUUCACUAGUAAGUCCCCGCUCUCUGCGUCUACGUUGAAAAGCAGCUUCUCCGUGCUGACUCGCAGCUUCCUAGCUGACACGUCCAGGACACUGAGCCCGAGAUCCUUGGCGAGGUUCCCCACCACCGAGCCCUUGGCCAGUUCCUCGGGAAUCGAGUAGCGGAUCGGCUCGCAGAGCGCGGGGUAGAACAAAGGUAGCAGGAAGGGAAACAGUACCUGCCGCCUGCCGGCCGGGCGCCUCUGAACGCAGCUCCCUCCCAUUGCGCGCUCUAGUUCUCGCUGGGUCCCAGUCUUUCCGGAAAGUCAAAGAAACUGCAAUCCACGGCGUCACUGGAAGAGCAUUCCACCCAUGACAAGCGUACCUGGGAAUCCGUAAAUGUUGGGCAAAGUCUGCGCCUCCAGGAGACCCAGUUGUAUGAGCAGAUUUUCUUCUGUGUUGGUGACUGCCCAGGAAAUCCCAGGCUGGAGACAGAAAUCCCAGGCGACUGCGCUUGCCCUGUACUGGCCGACAGCGGCGCCCAGAGGCCCCGUGUGGAACCGCAGGCAUUUUCCUCUUGAAUCCAAUUGUUCUCUACAAUCUCUAUAAUAUAUAUAUUCCUCUUCGAAAUUCCUAUACAUAUUUAUAUAUAUGCCCUGUACUCUGUGAAGUGCUCCUGAGGUAGUUGUUUACUUCUGCAUUGACCCCCUCGUCCUCCUGAGUGGCUGUCAACUGCAACACGGAGGACUGGGGGCCAAUUACAUACAAAUAGAAACAUACGAUAUUUAUUUCUUUAUAUAUAGAAUAUGUAUAUAUUGCUUCUUGAAAAUGAACUUAUAUAAUAGCCCCUAAUUUUAGUAUUAUAUUAUUACAGACUAUAUGCUUAGUGUUUUAAAGAAAUUUAUUACAGAAAAAUUUCAAACUUCUACAAAGUAGGGAGUAUUAUUGAAUCUUCAUAUACUCAUCACCCAAUAACAAUAACGAUCAACACAAGGCCAUCUUCAUUUAAUAUAAUUUGUACACCCUCAUUAUUUUGAAGCAAAUCCAAGAUACUUUAACUCUUAAGAUGAAACAUUAAGAUUAAUAAGGAUUUUAUAUUUAAGCCUAUUUUGUUAUAUAAAAUGUUACCAAUACAAAAGUCUAUCUAGUUUAAGAAAACUAGAAUUCAACAUUUUCCACACUGCCCAUUCACCCAGUGAGCUUUGUGUUCUGUUUUAAAGGCAAGUGAUAUUAAUGGUAGAGAAUAGUAGUUACUGACCGACAAGCCUUCAUCACUAUGUUAUGUUUUUUCCCAAGUUAACACAUACUUAAUAUUUGUAAAUACUAAGUACCAAUGGUUACUCGCGAGGACAGAAACUUCAAGUGACAGUUUUCCUAUUUCAUAGUUAAAAAUAUGAUCCUGAAGCAUGCUUUAAUUUUUUCCUACUAAAUUAGGAGUAAGGAGUAUUUGAAAUCAGUAUAACAUCUGUAUGUCAUAAUGGCUGUCCAGAUGUUACCCCUAUUAGCCAGCACUUUUCAAAUAGAAUUUUUGAGUCCACUUCAUAGUUUAUUUUUAAAGUCUCCUAGAAAGUCAUUUAUUACUCGGAAUGCCACUAUGUUUAAAAUAAAAUGAAAUAGGGGCAUCUGGGUCGCUCAGUCAGUCAUGUUUGAUUUCAGCUCAGGUCAUGAUCUCGCGGUUUAAGAGUUUGAGCCCUACAUCAGGUUCUCUGCUCUCUGUGCGGAGCCUGCUUGGGCUCUUCUGUCCCCUCUCUGCCCCUCCCUCACUCAUUGCCCCCCUCCUCAAAAAAUAAACUUGAAAAAAUAUUAUUCCUUUCUUAUAUUCAAAAGCUAGUAAAAUAUUCUUAGAACCUCUUCCAGCAGUUCCUGAGAAUAUUUUCCUAAGUUGUCUUCCUUAUCCAGGUUUAUUUCUAGCCUCAAGGUUGGAGAAUUGAGCCAUAAAUAACAGACAGUUGAAUAAUGUUUAUUUCCCUUGUUUUGUCCUCAACAGUGUUCAUUCUCAGAAACCCCUCUAAGUGAAUUGUGAUUCUUCCUCAGAAGUGAUCUUUAAAUUCAAACAACCUCUACAAACAUGUGAUCUGGAAAACAUAACCUCAAAGGGGGGUUGUCCUAUAAUAGAAACAGAAAAGCAGAAGCAGAAAAAUCUGGGCUCUCAGUUUCUUCAAGAAGAAUGCAUGUGUUUUCUCAUUAAUUUACCUUCACAUAGUGUCAGCUGUAUUUAUGUUUCAGAGGUAUGUAAGAAGUUCAAAGAUAAGUAGGAAGUUCACUAUGUGGCCACUGAAGAUAGCAACAAUAAUAAAUUUCAGGAAUGGAAAACCACCUCUAAGAAUUAGUAGUGAACUGAUAAUCAACCAAGGAACCCCACCCCAAUAGCCCAUAUCAACGGCUCAAUAAUGAGAGAAGCCCCAUGAAAAAGAUAUCCAUUGACCCUAGGUUAAUUUAGGUUAAUUAUGAGAAACUUAUAUCAGUGAUCUAACCAGUAAAUGCCUCCUAUAGAUGUUAGAACAAAACAAGGCCCAGUAAAACUUGGAUGGUGAGAAAUAUGUUAAAGAGAAUGUAUCAUACCUUAAGUGGAAACCUUAAAGAGAAAACCAAAUCAUAAGAGAAAAUAAAGGAAAAAGUUGAACUCA
This is a long non-coding RNA of Felis catus (domestic cat), 12736 nucleotides long. RefSeq lists it as uncharacterized. The transcript is spliced from 2 exons. The record is from RefSeq and is a predicted model, not a curated record. Lineage: Eukaryota; Metazoa; Chordata; Mammalia; Carnivora; Felidae.